RNAcentral lists this ribosomal RNA (445 nucleotides) under uncultured bacterium. RNAcentral's name for it is "bacterial SSU rRNA". It matches the Rfam family "Bacterial small subunit ribosomal RNA", at positions 354 to 796 of the family's 1533-position model. The record is from RNAcentral.
GUAAGGAAUAUUGGACAAUGGACGCAAGUCUGAUCCAGCCAUGCCGCGUGAAGGAUUAAGGUCCUCUGGAUUGUAAACUUCUUUUAUAAGGGACGAAAAAAGGCUUUUCUAAGUCGUCUGACGGUACCUUAUGAAUAAGCACCGGCUAACUCCGUGCCAGCAGCCGCGGUAAUACGGAGGGUGCAAGCGUUAUCCGGAUUCACUGGGUUUAAAGGGUGCGUAGGCGGGCAGGUAAGUCAGUGGUGAAAUCCUAGAGCUUAACUCUAGAACUGCCAUUGAUACUAUCUGGCUUGAAUAUUGUGGAGGUAAGCGGAAUAUGUCAUGUAGCGGUGAAAUGCUUAGAUAUGACAUAGAACACCUAUUGCGAAGGCAGCUUACUACGCAUAUAUUGACGCUAAGGCACGAAAGCGUGGGGAUCAAACAGGAUUAGAAACCCCAGUAGUCC